This 445-nucleotide ribosomal RNA is filed under the name uncultured bacterium. RNAcentral's name for it is "SSU rRNA". It matches the Rfam family "Bacterial small subunit ribosomal RNA", at positions 26 to 518 of the family's 1533-position model. The record is from RNAcentral.
AGAAUGAACGCUGGCGGCAUGCCUAACACAUGCAAGUCGAACGAGACCUUCGGGUCUAGUGGCGCACGGGUGCGUAACGCGUGGGAAUCUGCCCUUGGGUUCGGAAUAACAGUUAGAAAUGACUGCUAAUACCGAAUGAUGUCGUAAGACCAAAGAUUUAUCGCCCAGGGAUGAGCCCGCGUAGGGUUAGCUAGUUGGUGUGGUAAAGGCGCACCAAGGCGACGAUCCUUAGCUGGUCUGAGAGGAUGAUCAGCCACACUGGGACUGAGACACGGCCCAGACUCCUACGGGAGGCAGCAGUGGGGAAUAUUGGACAAUGGGCGAAAGCCUGAUCCAGCAAUGCCGCGUGAGUGAUGAAGGCCUUAGGGUUGUAAAGCUCUUUACCCGGGAUGAUAAUGACAGUACCGGGAGAAUAAGCUCCGGCUAACUCCGUGCCAGCAGCCGC